This 423-nucleotide ribosomal RNA is filed under the name uncultured bacterium. Its description in RNAcentral is "bacterial SSU rRNA". It matches the Rfam family "Bacterial small subunit ribosomal RNA", at positions 359 to 775 of the family's 1533-position model. The record is from RNAcentral.
GAAUCUUGCGCAAUGGGCGAAAGCCUGACGCAGCAACGCCGCGUGAGCGAAGAAGGCCUUCGGGUUGUAAAGCUCUGUCAGGGGGAAAGAAGGCACCUGGGUUAAUAGCCCAAGGGCUGACGGUACCUCCAAAGGAAGCCACGGCUAACUACGUGCCAGCAGCCGCGGUAAUACGUAGGUGGCAAGCGUUGUCCGGAAUCAUUGGGCGUAAAGAGCGCGUAGGUGGCUUGUCAGGUCUGAUGUGAAAACCUGGGGCUCAACUCCAGGCCUGCAUCGGAAACCGGCUUGCUAGAGUCUGGGAGAGGAGAGUGGAAUUCCUGGUGUAGCGGUGAAAUGCGUAGAUAUCAGGAGGAACACCGGUAGCGAAGGCGGCUCUCUGGAACAGUACUGACGCUGAGGCGCGAAAGCUAGGGGAGCGAACAG